This 169-nucleotide ribosomal RNA is filed under the name uncultured rumen bacterium. RNAcentral describes it as "partial 16S ribosomal RNA". It matches the Rfam family "Bacterial small subunit ribosomal RNA", at positions 338 to 524 of the family's 1533-position model. The record is from RNAcentral.
CCUACGGGAGGCAGCAGUGGGGAAUAUUGCACAAUGGAGGAAACUCUGAUGCAGCGACGCCGCGUGAGUGAAGAAGUAUUUCGGUAUGUAAAGCUCUAUCAGCAGGAAAGAAAAUGACGGUACCUGACUAAGAAGCCCCGGCUAACUACGUGCCAGCAGCCGCGGUAAU